RNAcentral lists this long non-coding RNA (1187 nucleotides) under Numida meleagris (helmeted guineafowl). RNAcentral describes it as "lncRNA (ENSNMEG00000010992.1)". The record is from RNAcentral. Lineage: Eukaryota; Metazoa; Chordata; Aves; Galliformes; Numididae.
CUUUGUCUGCCCCCAGCCCAUGUGGGCAGCAGGGCUCCAGCAGAGAGGGUGGGCACAGGGCUGGGCAGGGCUGAGCUGCGUUGUGCCCCACAAUGGGAUGGGAUGGGACAGGGCAGGAUGGGAUGGGAGAACUCUCCCGUUCUCACUUUUGACCAGAAAUUCCUGAGAAGAGUUAAGCUGAAACCAGCACGUUCCCAUAACGAGACUUUGUUUCGACACAUCAGCGUUUUUCCAAGGAAAAAAAAAAAAAAACACCCAACAACAACAACAACAAAAAAACACAACAAAAACAACUCCAAGAUCCCUCUGCUUAGUUGGAAAAGCCCCAUCUCGCUUCUGCUCUGAGCUUCCCAGGCAGUGAGAGGCAGCGACUCGUUCGCAGGGAUGGACCCUGGAGGCACAGGGCAGGGCAGGACCCCGGGGCUGGCCGUGCUGCAGCUUCCCCAUGCCUUGGGGUGGGCAGCAGACCCCACUCUGCCAUGGGUUGGGAGGCAGCUGCUGCUCAGAGGAUCCCGUCCUUAGCAGUGCACACGCCUGGCCCGGCCUUCCUGCAGGCAGAGCAUCCCUGCAAGUGUGCACUCUGCUGCACAGGGCAGCAAACCCCGCUAGCGCCUUCCUCUGCACCAGGCUUCACCUGUGCCCUGGGAUGCAGCCUCGUUGUUUUCCUGUCUGCACCUUGCUGGGACCACUCCUUGCACCCCCGCCUCAUUUCUCUUCCUCUCCCUCUCCCCACAUACCCCUUUUUUUGACUGCAUUCCUGGAGCAGCACUCUCUUCCCCCGGCUCCUCUCUCAGGACUUUAUUUACACACACAUAUUUCUUUCCCCACGCAGCAAGGAAACCUGAGCACGGAGCUGGCAGGGGCUGGUGGGCAGCUCCAACCCAGAGUGGCAGCAUCAGGCGGGAGGACGCCGUCACCCAGCGACCUAUGGCUGGGACCCAACGAGCGACGUUUGCAAAGCACCACCACUCAAUCAACAAACCUUGUUGUCUGCGGAGAAACAAGAAUGUUAAAAGAAGCCGCAGGGCCGGGGCGGAGGGUGUCUGAUUGCAGAGCAGGGGGCUGCCACUUCCAGCAUCUGUCAGUGCAUGGCUUUCAGGAAUGUCUAUGUAUAAAUAAAUGCAAUGAAAAGGUCCCCAGUUCCAGUGAAAGGAAAUGAUUUCCUCCUCAAGUGAUUAAGGGCACCA